UUGUGGAGGAGGACGCCGAAGGUGGGGCUAAUGACUGGGGUGAAGUCGUAACAAGGUAGCCGUACCGGAAGGUGCGGCUGGAUCACCUCCUAACAGGGAGACAACAAAAUGUUAAAUAUUAAUUUUGUCACCUUAGGUCGAUCGGUAUCUCACAUUCUUAAUUUUUAAGAAUUUUAUUUCCUAAGUUUUUCUAGGUCACACCCAUCAUUUUUCCUGGGCCAUUAGCUCAGGUGGUUAGAGCGCACCCCUGAUAAGGGUGAGGUCCCUGGUUCAAGUCCAGGAUGGCCCAUAUCUCUAUGUUGGGGGUAUAGCUCAGUUGGUAGAGCGCCUGCUUUGCAAGCAGGAUGUCAGCGGUUCGAGUCCGCUUACCUCCACUGAUUACCACCUCUUCCAUAAUAUGUAGAAGGGAAAUUUUGAGUUGUGAUCUAAUCCUGAACGAAUCUAGCUUCCUAAUUAAAUUUAAUUAAGAUGCUGGACUCAUUGAAUUAAUUUCAUUGUUUUCAGAGAACCUUGACAACUGCAUAGAUUAUUUUUAAAGACAAUAAGCAUCUUUUAAUGAUGCAGAUUUAUUAUUUGUGCGAAUGCAUUAAUAACAAUUCUAUUAAGCUGAUGCUUCAAUUUUGAAGUUAUUGGUCAAGCUACAA
This 644-nucleotide unclassified non-coding RNA is filed under the name uncultured Prochlorococcus sp. RNAcentral describes it as "partial 16S-23S ribosomal RNA intergenic spacer; may also contain 16S ribosomal RNA and 23S ribosomal RNA". The stretch from base 302 to 374 matches the Rfam family "tRNA". The record is from RNAcentral. Lineage: Bacteria; Bacillati; Cyanobacteriota; Cyanophyceae; Synechococcales; Prochlorococcaceae.